UCUGACGGAGCACGCCGCGUGAGCGAUGAAGGCCUUCGGGUCGUAAAGCUCUGUUGUUAGGGAAGAACAAGUGCUAGUUGAAUAAGCUGGCACCUUGACGGUACCUAACCAGAAAGCCACGGCUAACUACGUGCCAGCAGCCGCGGUAAUACGUAGGUGGCAAGCGUUAUCCGGAAUUAUUGGGCGUAAAGCGCGCGCAGGUGGUUUCUUAAGUCUGAUGUGAAAGCCCACGGCUCAACCGUGGAGGGUCAUUGGAAACUGGGAGACUUGAGUGCAGAAGAGGAAAGUGGAAUUCCAUGUGUAGCGGUGAAAUGCGUAGAGAUAUGGAGGAACACCAGUGGCGAAGGCGACUUUCUGGUCUGCAACUGACACUGAGGCGCGAAAGCGUGGGGAGCAAACAGGAUUAGAUACCCUGGUAGUCCACGCCGUAAACGAUGAGUGCUAAGUGUUAGAGGGUUUCCGCCCUUUAGUGCUGAAGUUAACGCAUAAGCAUCC
RNAcentral lists this ribosomal RNA (495 nucleotides) under Bacillus mycoides. RNAcentral describes it as "bacterial SSU rRNA". It matches the Rfam family "Bacterial small subunit ribosomal RNA", at positions 382 to 869 of the family's 1533-position model. Lineage: Bacteria; Bacillati; Bacillota; Bacilli; Caryophanales; Bacillaceae. The record is from RNAcentral.